Molecule: long non-coding RNA, 1325 nt
Organism: Mastomys coucha (southern multimammate mouse)
Lineage: Eukaryota; Metazoa; Chordata; Mammalia; Rodentia; Muridae
Exons: 3
Source: RefSeq, a predicted model, not a curated record
AUUGCUGUAAAAGAGUUCCCACUGCUGCAGGGUACAGUAGUGCACUCCUUUCAUUCCAGCACCUGAGAGGCAGAGGCAGAACUCAGUCAGUCGGGAAGUCACACUGUCCUGAAGUGAAGAUUAAGGCACUGUAGAUAUUGAGAAAGCCAUUUGAGGUCACAGUCUGCACAAGAGGGAACAUGUCACCCAGGGGUGGAGGAAGUACAAGGAGACAUUCAACUGGCACACCAGCCUGAAGGCGACAAGGCAUUGGAUACCGUUCAGGUUACUUCUUCCAAGGCCUUGCUCCGGAUGUGACAACUCUCUUUCCUUCUGAUGAGUUUCCAGUUCAAGGUCAGAUGCAGUUUGGGAGGAAGCAUUCCUCGAGAGCCGAGUGUAAGGACACGCGCUCCGUGCGAGCCACAGCCUUUGGACUCCAUUCUGGACUUUGACUGCUGCGUGGAGUAAGGCUGGAACACUGACUCAUUGCACAUGCUCCCAGACAGUGAGUAAGCGAUCCCCACUGAAGUGCAGGGCUCAUGCUAACAGAAAGAACCUGGCAAGCUUGCACUUGACCACUGGAUCUGCAUUGGAAGAGAAGGCAGCAACCGCAAUCACAGGAGCCCCCUCCUCCGUUCUGCAUGGUCUGCCUUUCUCUACCUUCCCCUGCUGUGGGCCACCUCUGUUGCCUGCUGCCAAGGAACCCUUUUACCAGCCCAGCUUUCUUUGCUCCCUCCUCCAGAGCCUUAGAUUCUUGGGUCUCACUCCCAGUAGAUGCUGUGUCAGUUUUUCCCUGGUUCUGUGACUUCUGUCCUUAGUAACGAUGGGCAGCUACAUGUGAAUGGGCAAGUGUAAGAGAGAGGACACGGGAGGCAAAGAAAGAAGUGAGUGCAUGAAGGGCUGAGUGCUUAGUUGAUGAGCUGAACUUCUGGGACUUAAACAUACCAGGAUGUUCUCCCCUUCAGCUGGACUGUGUUACUUCAGGAUCUUUAGAUCCUUUGAGAAAAAGAGAAUAUUCCUAUCGUAAACCUAUUAAGACCUAGAUGUUGUCAUUUGGGUGUUUCUUCCUGAUGUUUAGUAAAGAGGGCUGGAGAGAUGGCUCAGUGGCAAGAGCAUUGGGUGCUCUUGGAGAGGAUCCAGUUCAGUUCCUAGCACCCACAUGCUGGCUUACAACCACUUCCAGUUCCAGGGGGUCUAAUGCUCUCUUCUGGCUUCUGUGUACACCUAUACGAAGGUAAAACACCCAUUUGCAUAAAAUAAAAUGGAAAGAAAAAAAAGACUCAGUAAAGAGGCCUGGAGAGAUGCUCCCAGGUGAAGAGUUUGCUGAGCAUCAAUCCCAGCACCCA